RNAcentral lists this unclassified non-coding RNA (2216 nucleotides) under Hevea brasiliensis (rubber tree). Lineage: Eukaryota; Viridiplantae; Streptophyta; Magnoliopsida; Malpighiales; Euphorbiaceae. The record is from RNAcentral.
GCGACGUUUAUUUAGAAUCAUUCUUCUGAGGAAAGCCAUUCCAAAUACAACCCUACUGCUCACUCUGUAUACAUAUAUGCCAUAGACAACAUUAGAUCUUAUCUUCCCAUUUCAACAUGAGAUUCUCUUCUGUUAUCUCCAUUUUUAUACUUGCUAUUCUUGGUUUCUGGACAUUGAUUCAUGCCCAGCAGCCUUAUGAGGGAAAAGCUACAACAAAUUGUUCCAACACCGACAAUUCUGUUCUUGGAUACUCUUGCAGUGGUCUAAACAGGAGUUGCCAGGCUUAUGUUACCUUCAGAUCCCAACCUCCUUACAACUCUGUCGCUUCCAUCUCUACCCUCUUGAGCUCUGACCCAUCUCAGCUCUCUGCAAUAAACUCAGUUUCUGAGGCUGCAUCAUUUGAUACAAACAAGUUGGUGCUAGUUCCUGUCAACUGUUCAUGUUCAGGUAACUACUCUCAGGCUAACACAUCUUAUGUUGUCCAGGCAGGAGACUCGCCUUUCUUGAUUGCUAAUAAUACCUAUCAGGGCCUCUCAAACUGUCAAGCUGUCCAGGAUCAAAACAGAAGGCAAACCACUGAUAUAUUUGCUGGUGAAAAGCUGAACAUUCCUCUGAGGUGUGCUUGCCCCACCAAAAACCAAACUGGUGUAGGUAUCAAGUAUCUGUUAAGUUACCUAGUCACUUGGGGAGAUACAGUUUCAGCUGUUAGUGUAAAAUUUGGUGGGGAUACUGGGAGGAGCCUUGAAGCUAAUGGGCUUAGCGAGCAGAAUGCCGUCAUUUAUCCCUUCACUACGCUUUUGAUUCCCCUGGAAAACCCACCAUCGAGUACUCAAACAAUAGCACCACCUCCGCCUCCAGCUUCACCACCGCCUCCUUCAUCACCAUCUCCUAACUCCAAAAAAAGCUCCGAUAAAACAUGGGUUUAUGUCGUCGUUGGGGUUCUUGGAGGAAUUGCCCUUAUCACAGUCCUUGGCAUCAUUAUUUUCUUCGCAAUGUUUCGUAAAAAUAAGAAUAGAUCUGAUCCGAUUACCGUCCCUGAAAGCGUCGAGGCUAUUGAGAAACCCGUCGAGAAGAAGUUGGAUGAAGAAUCUCAGGACUUCUUGGAGAGCAUAUUUAGCAUAGCUCAAUCUAUUAAAGUUUACAGUUUCAAAGAACUGCAAACUGCAACCGAUAAUUUCAGUCCCAGUUGUUGGAUUAGCGGAUCUGUUUAUCGUGGCUUAAUUAAUGGUGACUACGCUGCCAUUAAGAAAGUGAAUGGUGAUGUGACAAAGGAGAUAGAAUUAUUAAACAAGAUUAACCAUUUUAAUCUUGUUCGACUCUCUGGUGUUUGUUUCCGUGAAGGGAAUUGGUAUCUAGUUUACGACUAUGCUGCAAAAGGACCCUUGAGUGAUUGGAUUUAUAGCGCCAACAAUGAUGGGAAGUUCCUAAAUUGGACGCAGAGAGUACAGAUUGCUUUGGAUGUGGCCACAGGGCUUAACUAUCUACACAAUUUUACUAGUCCUUCUCAUGUCCACAAGGAUAUAAAAAGUAGUAAUGUUCUUCUUGAUAGUGAGUUCAGGGCUAAGAUUGCAAAUCUUGCCAAGGCAAGGUCAGCAGAAGCACAGGAAGGUGAAUUUGCCUUGACAAGGCACAUUGUUGGAACAAAAGGUUACAUGGCUCCUGAGUACUUGGAACAUGGUCUGGUCUCCACAAAGCUUGAUGUCUAUGCAUUUGGGGUUGUUAUGUUGGAGAUAGUUUCUGGGAAAGAGGUUGCUGCUUUAUACACAGAGGAAAAUAUGAACUUAUCAGACGUGUUAAAUGAUGUUCUUUCCAAGGAAGAUGGACAGGAGAUUCUGAGGAAAUUCAUUGAUCCUUCCAUUCAAGGGAAUUAUCCUUUGGAACUCACUGAUCUUGUGAUGAGAUUGAUUGAUAGAUGCUUGAAUAAAAAUCCGGCAGAUCGUCCAUCCAUGGAUGAGAUCACGCAGUCUCUCUCAAGAAUCUUGACCACUUCACUCAAUUGGGAAUCAUCCAACGUUCCAGGGUACCAGUUCAGCAGGAGCUCUUGACAGCAAGUUAUUUAAAAUGAAUGCUUUCACUUGUAAGUUUUGCUUUAUGCCUUUUUAGACUUUUCUGUAUUUGUUCUUCCUUUGUCAGGUAAUAUAAUAAUAUCCAAGAUUGUAUUGUAAAAUUCUUUUGUGUAAGUAUUUCAGAUAUAUAGUGACAUUUGAAAAUUCCAA